Hippocampus zosterae (dwarf seahorse) is the source of this 467-nucleotide long non-coding RNA. RefSeq lists it as uncharacterized. Lineage: Eukaryota; Metazoa; Chordata; Actinopteri; Syngnathiformes; Syngnathidae. The record is from RefSeq and is a predicted model, not a curated record. The transcript is spliced from 3 exons.
ACCAGCUGGACCGCAAGUACAAACGAGACAGAGAGCAAAAAGUUACCGGCUUAAAAAAAACAAUACGUGACAAUAAAUCCAAAUAUGCGGGAAUUUUUCAUCCCCCCUACAUUUGCGUGGACUGAAGGUCACUGACGAGGGAGGAACUCAAACCGUCCUCUGUGUUGAGGUCAAGUCUCUCGCUCAUCUAUUUUUUUUUUUCUUUUAGAGUCGGAAUAGAGAUAAGAUAAGAUAAGGUGGUCGCUGCAAAGCAGGGGGACCAAGACAAGAACUCAAGGACAAGACUCAAAACUGAACUCUACUGGUCAACUAACCGUGGACGUUAUUUUGGGGUCGCCCAGAGAAAAGCCCGGAGAAAAGCGUCUCUUCAAGCACCAAGCUAACCUGCCAACGUGCUCACAGAGACCAGAGGCAACUUUCGGACACUGAGCAUCAUGAUUAUCACUGCACGGAAGGUCACCCCCCCC